RNAcentral lists this ribosomal RNA (447 nucleotides) under uncultured bacterium. Its description in RNAcentral is "bacterial SSU rRNA". It matches the Rfam family "Bacterial small subunit ribosomal RNA", at positions 355 to 825 of the family's 1533-position model. The record is from RNAcentral.
UCGGGAAUUUUGGGCAAUGGGGGAAACCCUGACCCAGCAACGCCGCGUGAAGGAUGAAGUAUUUCGGUAUGUAAACUUCGAAAGAAUAGGAAGAAUAAAUGACGGUACUAUUUAUAAGGUCCGGCUAACUACGUGCCAGCAGCCGCGGUAAUACGUAGGGACCAAGCGUUGUUCGGAUUUACUGGGCGUAAAGGGCGCGUAGGCGGCAUGACAAGUCACUUGUGAAAUCUCUGGGCUUAACCCAGAACGGCCAAGUGAUACUGUCGCGCUAGAGUGCAGAAGGGGCAAUCGGAAUUCUUGGUGUAGCGGUGAAAUGCGUAGAUAUCAAGAGGAACACCUGAGGUGAAGACGGGUUGCUGGGCUGACACUGACGCUGAGGCGCGAAAGCGUGGGGAGCAAACAGGAUUAGAUACCCUUGUAGUCCCUGAGCGGGCUGGCAAGGCGCAU